This is a long non-coding RNA of Aegilops tauschii subsp. strangulata, 510 nucleotides long. RefSeq lists it as uncharacterized. Lineage: Eukaryota; Viridiplantae; Streptophyta; Magnoliopsida; Poales; Poaceae. The record is from RefSeq and is a predicted model, not a curated record.
GGCUUCUCUCUCAUAUAUAUACUGUACUUCGACCAGGAAACACACAUACAUAUUUGCCAAGAAAGUAUUUGCAUUUUCAAUUGCAUCGUCUUGAUGGCCAAGCGCACCGGCCUUGCUCAUGCACCUACGCUACUCUCGCUGCUGUUUCUCAUGUGCUUUGCUAUCCAUGUACACUGUCGAAUCAUGGAUGACAAAACCAACAACAAGAUUAAUUUCCCACACGGAUUGUGCGUGCAUAAGAGUGCUCAAGACUGCCCAGAUUCAUCUUAUUGUGACUGUUGUUUAGUAAGGAGCCGCUGCUAUCGUACAAUGGACAUAUGCGUCGACGAGUGCAAAAAAACUUCUUCAGGCACAUCGACGACGCCGACCCAUCUUCCUUUUCCAUCCCAUACAUUCUUAUCAAUUUUAUGUUGUUCCAAGUGAUCAUUCUAAUGCGCUAGCUGAUGUGAAUUGGAAUAAAAAACAAUUUUGUAAUUUACUUACUGAAGUUCAGCUGGUCACUGUCAUAUA